RNAcentral lists this ribosomal RNA (493 nucleotides) under Salmonella enterica. Its description in RNAcentral is "partial 23S ribosomal RNA". It matches the Rfam family "Bacterial large subunit ribosomal RNA", at positions 2450 to 2925 of the family's 2925-position model. The record is from RNAcentral. Lineage: Bacteria; Pseudomonadati; Pseudomonadota; Gammaproteobacteria; Enterobacterales; Enterobacteriaceae.
CAACGGAUAAAAGGUACUCCGGGGAUAACAGGCUGAUACCGCCCAAGAGUUCAUAUCGACGGCGGUGUUUGGCACCUCGAUGUCGGCUCAUCACAUCCUGGAGCUGAAGUAGGUCCCAAGGGUAUGGCUGUUCGCCAUUUAAAGUGGUACGCGAGCUGGGUUUAGAACGUCGUGAGACAGUUCGGUCCCUAUCUGCCGUGGGCGCUGGAGAACUGAGGGGGGCUGCUCCUAGUACGAGAGGACCGGAGUGGACGCAUCACUGGUGUUCGGGUUGUCAUGCCAAUGGCACUGCCCGGUAGCUAAAUGCGGAAGAGAUAAGUGCUGAAAGCAUCUAAGCACGAAACUUGCCCCGAGAUGAGUUCUCCCUGAGACUUAGAGUCUCCUGAAGGAACGUUGAAGACGACGACGUUGAUAGGCCGGGUGUGUAAGCGCAGCGAUGCGUUGAGCUAACCGGUACUAAUGAACCGUGAGGCUUAACCUUACAACGCCGAAG